Molecule: long non-coding RNA, 1866 nt
Organism: Rhinopithecus roxellana (golden snub-nosed monkey)
Lineage: Eukaryota; Metazoa; Chordata; Mammalia; Primates; Cercopithecidae
Exons: 4
Source: RefSeq, a predicted model, not a curated record
UGCCCUGCAAAUGUCAGCGCCAGCCCAGUCCAAAGAGCUUGAAACCUACCAAGCUAAAGGACUAUGCUGUGCCUCUCUCGCGCACAUUUUCCCCAAGCACUCUCAGGAACCUGGCAACAGGUAACGUGGCAACCUUUGACUUAUAAAAGGGCAAGUGGCACAAUUUCAGGGAACAAAUGGACUUUUUUUUAAAGCCAGCAUCUCCCCCACCACUCCCACACCCCACUCCCUCCCUCCCAACCAAAAGUGAGUAAAAAACAAAGCAUUGACGCGGGCAGUCCUACUCUCGAGUGUCCCCUUGUGGCCAAGCCUGGAACAUCACAUCCGUACUUUGCAAUCUGUGGAUCGGCUAGGAGGAUGAAUGCCAUCCACACAAAAGAGCUCCUGUUGACAUCUCAUUUACAAUCUCCCCCAGGACACAGACAAGACCCUUUCAAUAAACUCGGCUCAGAAACACCUAUUGUUCAAAAUCUUCAACUCGCCACAGGCUACCACCACUCCCUACGGCUUUGCAAAAUUAAAGAUUUAGAAGAAGGAUGGGGACGGUGGAAGCUAUGAAAAGAGGCAGGAAAAAAGUCCCUUUGACCCGAUGCUGUCAGAGAGCGUGCAUGAAGAAGAAAGUUAAUGGUAUUUCCAUUUAUAUAAGAAGUGCCUAAGAAAUGCCUGUGACGUUUGUGAACUAGUGAUUGUGAAUUCCAAAUGUGAUGCCAACUUUAUGUGUAAAGAAGCUAACUCCUGCCAACAUUGUGGCUGAAUGAACAGCCGGGGCUAUGCUUAACCCAUUCCCAGCUUACAAAAGCCCCAUAGCAGCUGCAGCAAAGCAUCAGGUGAGUCUGAUCUGGGCUGUCCUGUUUCCUCGGGGAUUUGACGCUUGCCUGUCCUGUCCAAGUGGAAUCUUGUGCCUAAGUGCUCGAGUCUACCCCUCUCCACUGAUUCCCUUCUUUCCAUUUCUGCCAUUUCCCUUCUUCUUUUAAUAAAACUUGGGCAUUUUCUGGAGUCACAUGUUUUUCUUGGGAUGUACUUCAAAUUAAGGAGCGUAUUUGUGUUUACAGAAACACACACACACACACAAAAGAAUCGGGCAUUUCUCAAGUUUCUCAUCUUUCACUUGAGGUUCCCUAUCUCAGUACACGAUCCCUUUGUCUGCCCCGAGUUCAAGCCAAAACUUGGCAUUAUCUGUAAGCACUCUUUUGGGUCCUCUUCGAUCUCUUAAAUCCCUCUGGAAUCAUUCCACAUCCUUCUGUGCAUCUUUCUGCUUCCCUAGAUCCUAUAGUUUUAAAUGUUCUCUUCUGGAGUAUCACAGCAACUUCCUUAACCCAAGGUUUCUCCAACUCUGAGUUGUGACUUAAUGGGUAGUGAAAUCAGAUGAGUCAUGCAGUUUCACCAUUUAGAAAAUGCAAAAGGUUAGGUAGAAAAUGUCAGCGUACAUCCUGUGUAGAAAAAUUAAGUCUUGUUGGGAAACUUCUUUCAGUUUGUGUGUGCGUGUCCCCGGAUCUGUGUACAUACUGGGCAACAAGGAAAAUGCAUUUUGUAGGUCAAAAUAUUUGGAGAAAUACUUUUCUACUUAGUCUCACUGGGUCUGUCUUUUCUCUGUUUCCAAACUAAAUUGCGUACACUGAGAGGAAGAGCGGAAACCCUCCAGCAGGUCCUGUCAGUCUGCAGUUUACAAAUCUGCCCUCAGGAAAGUAUGGUAAGAAGAAACUGAAUUUGAAGUGCUUUCUUACAAAGGAAAAAGAAAUCACUAUUGUAAUUGUAUGCCAAACUACUACGUAUGUGAGGCCCCAACUCUGACUUCACGUCGUUACAGCCAGGCACUUGAGGAGGCGGAGGCGGGCGGAUCACCCGAGGUCGGGAGUUCGAGACCAG